AGCGAUCCAGACAGACAACACAGAAAACAUAAGUAGGAAUUUGUGCUCUACUACAUAAACGACCAACCUAACCACCUUUAUAAACCCAAUCGAAAAACACGCCUCCACCUCCCACCCACCUCUUCUCCUAUCAUGGCCAUCGCCGCCUGCUACUUCACCGCCUCCCUCUCCAACUUCAAUCCCAGUCUCAAUCUCCAUCGACCAUUUCUUUCCUCCCACUCAUCACCUCUUCUCCACCUCCGCCUCUCCCUCUCCUCGCCCUCCAUUUCUCCUCUUUCCCUCCGCCACCAACACACUAACCCUUUCCCCCUCUUCGUCCCUUCCGCUUCUUCUUCUGGCGGAGAUGGAAGCUUCAAUAAUGGCCCCCCUUCCAGCGGCGGCGGUGGUGGAGGCAAUGACGACUAUAAUAGUAAUAACAGCGGCGGUGAUGAGGAUGGUGAUAAUGCUGCGAACAGGAACACGAAAGAGGCGAUGAUGGUGUUAGCGGAGUCGAAGCGGGCACUGGAGACUUUGCCCAAGGACUUGGCGGCAGGGAUCCAGGCCGGCAGAAUUCCUGGUGCGGUGGUUUCAAGGUUUUUAGAGCUCGAGAAGUCGGGGUUGUUCCGGUGGUUUCUUCAGUUCGGUGGGUUCAAGGAAAGGCUGUUGGCUGAUGAUCUGUUUUUUGCUAAGGUCGGCAUUGAGUGCGGUGUUGGUAUCUUCACUAAGACUGCUGCAGAAUAUGAACGUCGCAGAGAGAAUUUUUUCAAGGAGCUGGAAAUUGUUUUUGCGGACGUGGUGAUGGCCAUAAUUGCAGAUUUCAUGCUUGUUUAUCUUCCUGCUCCAACAGUAUCCCUCCGACCACCUCUUGCAAGCAGUGCUGGACCUAUUGCAAAGUUCUUCUACAGCUGCCCUGAUAAUGCAUUUCAGGUUGCUCUUGCUGGAACUUCCUACUCAUUUUUACAGAGAAUAGGUGCUAUUGUGCGUAAUGGGGCAAAACUUUUUGCUGUUGGCACCACCUCAUCACUGGUUGGCACAGCUGUGACGAAUACAUUGAUCAACGGACGGAAGGCUGUAGAUAAGUCUUCAGCAGGUGAAGUUGAAAAUGUGCCUAUAUUGUCCACCAGUGUUGCCUAUGGUGUCUAUAUGGCAG
Molecule: unclassified non-coding RNA, 1129 nt
Filed under: Hevea brasiliensis (rubber tree)
Lineage: Eukaryota; Viridiplantae; Streptophyta; Magnoliopsida; Malpighiales; Euphorbiaceae
Source: RNAcentral